This 45-nucleotide transfer RNA is filed under the name Apis mellifera (honey bee). RNAcentral describes it as "partial tRNA-Leu". The record is from RNAcentral. Lineage: Eukaryota; Metazoa; Arthropoda; Insecta; Hymenoptera; Apidae.
AACUUAAGAUUCAAAUAUAAAGUAAUUUUUAAACUUUUAUUAAAA